Molecule: ribosomal RNA, 402 nt
Filed under: Verrucomicrobiota bacterium
Lineage: Bacteria; Pseudomonadati; Verrucomicrobiota
Description: Verrucomicrobia bacterium partial 16S ribosomal RNA
Rfam family: Bacterial small subunit ribosomal RNA
Source: RNAcentral
UGGGGAAUUUUGCACAAUGGGGGAAACCCUGAUGCAGCGACGCCGCGUGAUUUAGAAGGCCUUCGGGUUGUAAAAAUCUUUUGUAUGGGAAGAAAAUGACAGUACCAUACGAAUAAGGACCGGCUAAUUACGUGCCAGCAGCCGCGGUAAUACGUAAGGUCCGAGCGUUGUCCGGAAUCAUUGGGCGUAAAGGGUACGUAGGCGGAUAAGCAAGUUAGAAGUGAAAUCCUAUAGCUCAACUAUAGUAAGCUUUUAAAACUGCUCAUCUUGAGGUAUGGAAGGGAAAGUGGAAUUCCUAGUGUAGCGGUGAAAUGCGCAGAUAUUAGGAGGAAUACCGGUGGCGAAGGCGGCCUUCUGGGCCACGACUGACGCUGAGGCGCGAAAGCUAGGGGAGCGAACAGG